CCUACGGGGGGCAGCAGUGGGGAAUAUUGCACAAUGGGGGAAACCCUGAUGCAGCGACGCCGCGUGAGUGAAGAAGUAUUUCGGUAUGUAAAGCUCUAUCAGCAGGGAAGAAGAAAGACGGUACCUGACUCAGAAGCCUCGGCUAACUACGUGCCAGCAGCCGCGGUAAUACGUAGGGGGCAAGCGUUAUCCGGAUUUACUGGGUGUAAAGGGAGCGUAGACGGCUGUGCAAGUCUGAAGUGAAAGCCCAGGGCUCAACCCUGGGACUGCUUUGGAAACUGUGGAGCUAGAGUGCUGGAGAGGUAAGUGGAAUUCCUAGUGUAGCGGUGAAAUGCGUAGAUAUUAGGAGGAACCCCAGUGGCGAAGGCGGCUUACUGGACAGUAACUGACGUUGAGGCUCGAAAGCGUGGGGAGCAAACAGGAUUAGAUACCCGUGUAGUC
Molecule: ribosomal RNA, 441 nt
Filed under: uncultured bacterium
Lineage: Bacteria
Description: partial 16S ribosomal RNA
Rfam family: Bacterial small subunit ribosomal RNA
Source: RNAcentral